AAUAGAUACCCCGGUAGUCCACGCCGUAAACGAUGAGUGCUAAGUGUUAGAGGGUUUCCGCCCUUUAGUGCUGCAGCUAACGCAUUAAGCACUCCGCCUGGGGAGUACGGCCGCAAGGCUGAAACUCAAAGGAAUUGACGGGGGCCCGCACAAGCGGUGGAGCAUGUGGUUUAAUUCGAAGCAACGCGAAGAACCUUACCAGGUCUUGACAUCCUCUGCCAACCCUAGAGAUAGGGCGUUCCCCUUCGGGGGACAGAGUGACAGGUGGUGCAUGGUUGUCGUCAGCUCGUGUCGUGAGAUGUUGGGUUAAGUCCCGCAACGAGCGCAACCCUUGAUCUUAGUUGCCAGCAUUCAGUUGGGCACUCUAAGGUGACUGCCGGUGACAAACCGGAGGAAGGUGGGGAUGACGUCAAAUCAUCAUGCCCCUUAUGACCGUGGGCUACACACGUGCUACAAUGGAUGGUACAAAGAGCUGCGAACCCGCGAGGGUAAGCGAAUCUCAUAAAGCCAUUCUCAGUUCGGAUUGUAGG
RNAcentral lists this ribosomal RNA (530 nucleotides) under uncultured bacterium. RNAcentral's name for it is "bacterial SSU rRNA". It matches the Rfam family "Bacterial small subunit ribosomal RNA", at positions 777 to 1304 of the family's 1533-position model. The record is from RNAcentral.